This 253-nucleotide ribosomal RNA is filed under the name uncultured bacterium. RNAcentral's name for it is "partial 16S ribosomal RNA". It matches the Rfam family "Bacterial small subunit ribosomal RNA", at positions 524 to 776 of the family's 1533-position model. The record is from RNAcentral.
UACGGAGGGGGCGAGCGUUAUUCGGAAUUACUGGGCGUAAAGCGUGCGCAGGCGGUUUUGUAAGUCAGAUGUGAAAUCCCCGGGCUUAACCUGGGAAUGGCAUUUGGGACUGCAAGGCUGGAGUUUGGCAGAGGAGACUGGAAUUCCCGGUGUAGCAGUGAAAUGCGUAGAUAUCGGGAGGAGUACCGAUGGCGAAGGCAGGUCUCUGGGCUAUAACUGACGCUCAUGCACGAAAGCGUGGGGAGCAAACAGG